CAAGACGUAGCUUUAAUGAAAGCAUUCAGCUUACGCCUGAAAGAUGUCUGCUAAACCAGAUCGUCUUGA
RNAcentral lists this transfer RNA (69 nucleotides) under Rhamphocharis crassirostris piperata. RNAcentral's name for it is "tRNA-Val". Lineage: Eukaryota; Metazoa; Chordata; Aves; Passeriformes; Melanocharitidae. The record is from RNAcentral.